GACGAACGCUAGCGGCGUGCUUAACACAUGCAAGUCGAACGGAAAGGCCCUGCUUUUGUAGGGUGCUCGAGUGGCGAACGGGUGAGUAACACGUGAGUAACCUGCCCUUGACUUUGGGAUAACUUCAGGAAACUGGGGCUAAUACCGGAUAGGAGCUCCUGCUGCAUGGUGGGGGUUGGAAAGUUUCGGCGGUUGGGGAUGGACUCGCGGCUUAUCAGCUUGUUGGUGGGGUAGUGGCUUACCAAGGCUUUGACGGGUAGCCGGCCUGAGAGGGUGACCGGCCACAUUGGGACUGAGAUACGGCCCAGACUCCUACGGGAGGCAGCAGUGGGGAAUAUUGCACAAUGGGCGGAAGCCUGAUGCAGCAACGCCGCGUGCGGGAUGACGGCCUUCGGGUUGUAAACCGCUUUCGCCUGUGACGAAGCGUGAGUGACGGUAAUGGGUAAAGAAGCACCGGCUAACUACGUG
Molecule: ribosomal RNA, 468 nt
Filed under: uncultured bacterium
Lineage: Bacteria
Description: partial 16S ribosomal RNA
Rfam family: Bacterial small subunit ribosomal RNA
Source: RNAcentral